AUGUAUGUAGUCUUACUCUUACUCCCCCCACCUAUCCCCCCAAAAGAAGGAAAAAAAAGUCUGUUUCUGCAAGUAAGAAACAGUGACCACCCUAUCUUAAGGCUACCUUACUUUUGCGUUGGCCCACCCUCAUCAAGAGGAGCUAUUUAUCUUAGAGGGGUAGCUAUUUAUCUUAGAGGGGUGGGGUGA
Vicia faba (fava bean) is the source of this 189-nucleotide non-coding RNA. Lineage: Eukaryota; Viridiplantae; Streptophyta; Magnoliopsida; Fabales; Fabaceae. The record is from the annotation of a GenBank genome assembly.